UUCAGUAUUAUCGGUAGUGAUUUAAUAGAGUAGUAGUCCCAUUCAAGUUUCUUAGCUCAAUUCCUAUUGGUACUUGUUGCAUUCUUAGAAGCAGAAGCUGUAGCUCGACUAUUGUAUGCCCUAGUUACAUUCCUUCCAGUAAUAGCUCAGUCUGAAUUAGUAGCUCAAUGCUUGGAAGCAUUAGUGGAUUUCCUAUUUCUUAGUGAAAGUCGAGGUAGCACCUG
Molecule: long non-coding RNA, 224 nt
Filed under: Musa acuminata (dwarf banana)
Lineage: Eukaryota; Viridiplantae; Streptophyta; Magnoliopsida; Zingiberales; Musaceae
Description: long non-coding RNA (MACU_LNC010198)
Source: RNAcentral